Colobus angolensis palliatus is the source of this 300-nucleotide unclassified non-coding RNA. It matches the Rfam family "Metazoan signal recognition particle RNA". From Rfam's summary of the family: The signal recognition particle (SRP) is a universally conserved ribonucleoprotein. It is involved in the co-translational targeting of proteins to membranes. NCBI's taxonomy places the organism in Eukaryota, Metazoa, Chordata, Mammalia, Primates, Cercopithecidae. The record is from Ensembl.
GCUGGGUGCAGUGGCACGUGCCUGUAGUCCCAGCUGCUUGGGAGGCUGAGGCAGGAGGGUUGCUUGAACCCAGGAGUUGUAGGCUGUCGUAUGCUAUGAUGGUGUCCACCUUAAGUUCAGCAUCAAUAUGGUGACCUUCUGGGAGCGGGGACCACCAGAUUGCCUAUCUGGUUCAGGAGGGUGAACCAGCUCAGGUCAGAAACAGAACAGGUGAAAACUCCUCUGCUGAUCAAUAGUGAGAUCACACCUGUGAAUGGUGACUAGCCACUGCAUUCCAGCCUGGGCUGAGACCCUGUCUCU